Molecule: ribosomal RNA, 253 nt
Filed under: uncultured bacterium
Lineage: Bacteria
Description: partial 16S ribosomal RNA
Rfam family: Bacterial small subunit ribosomal RNA
Source: RNAcentral
UACGAAGGGGGCUAGCGUUGUUCGGAAUUACUGGGCGUAAAGCGUGCGCAGGCGGCUUCUCAAGUCAGGGGUGAAAGCCCAGAGCUCAACUCUGGAAUUGCCUUUGAGACUGAGUGGCUUGAGUACGGGAGAGGUGAGUGGAAUUCCGAGUGUAGAGGUGAAAUUCGUAGAUAUUCGGAAGAACACCAGUGGCGAAGGCGACUCACUGGCCCGUUACUGACGCUGAGGCGCGAAAGCGUGGGGAGCAAACAGG